AUUACCUUCCUCCAGCGGAGAUAAUUUUUGUUGCUGUUGUUGUCGCUUUUGCGGGAAGGACCCGGCCGCCAGGUCAGGCUCGCUCCGGGUCAGUGUGUUUUCUCUGACGGUCACCUCUGCAAGCAGAGCAGUCGUAGUGUCGUAUUUGCAGCUCGCUGAGAAAAGAGCAUUCUUAAAUCUCGAGGCUUAAUUCAGGGAUGGGAGGAAUAAAACAGGGGCUAUAAAGGAACGCUUUUUUUUCCCCCUUCCCUUCUCUUUUUAGAUCGAUCUAGUGCCUUGGAAGUAGAGAAAAAGUUACUAAAGACAGCUUUCCAGCCAGUGCAGAGGCGGCCCCAGAACCAACUUGACGCCGCUAUGGUUCUAUCGGCGCUCUCAUCAUCAUAGUUAAUUUUUUAUUGUUGUUGUAAUGAUUGUAAAAAAAAAUUCUCUGUAUAGUUAAAACUUGUAAGCAUGUCCGUAUAUUCAAACUCAAAAGGAAAAAAAAUACCCGCUUCUGUCCUAUCACCUGGGUUAGCUGAGCUGUGAAAUUUUUUUUGGAAGUCCAGUGAGAAUUAGAUGUCCCCCUUUUGGGUUUUUUUUGGUUUUUUUUUUUGGUUGUUGUUGUUGUUUGUUUUUGUACAUACCGUAAAAAAUGUACAUAUGUGUGAACCAAAUUGUACAAGAAAGUAUAUAUUUUUGGCUAAUAAAUAAACUGUUGCCACUUUGACUACA
Zonotrichia albicollis (white-throated sparrow) is the source of this 711-nucleotide non-coding RNA. NCBI's taxonomy places the organism in Eukaryota, Metazoa, Chordata, Aves, Passeriformes, Passerellidae. The record is from RefSeq and is a predicted model, not a curated record.